RNAcentral lists this ribosomal RNA (451 nucleotides) under uncultured bacterium. Its description in RNAcentral is "bacterial SSU rRNA". It matches the Rfam family "Bacterial small subunit ribosomal RNA", at positions 29 to 523 of the family's 1533-position model. The record is from RNAcentral.
AGCGAACGCUGGCGGCAGGCUUAACACAUGCAAGUCGAGCGCCCGUAGCAAUACGGGAGCGGCAGACGGGUGAGUAACACGUGGGAACGUGCCUUUUGGUUCGGAACAACUGAGGGAAACUUCAGCUAAUACCGGAUAAGCCCUUACGGGGAAAGAUUUAUCGCCAAAAGAUCGGCCCGCGUCUGAUUAGCUAGUUGGUGGGGUAAUGGCCCACCAAGGCUACGAUCAGUAGCUGGUCUGAGAGGAUGAUCAGCCACACUGGGACUGAGACACGGCCCAGACUCCUACGGGAGGCAGCAGUGGGGAAUCUUGGACAAUGGGCGCAAGCCUGAUCCAGCCAUGCCGCGUGAGUGAUGAAGGCCUUAGGGUUGUAAAGCUCUUUCAGCGGGGAAGAUAAUGACGGUACCCGCAGAAGAAGCCCCGGCUAACUUCGUGCCAGCCGCCGCCGUAA